GUAAAAGGGGGUGGGAACGUGGGAGAAUAGGGUGAGAACACGGUCUUGAAACAGAGGAGAAAACCUAGCGCCGCAGAUCUUCCUUACAAAAAAUCACGCGCAAACACUCUGAGAGGAGAUAGCCAAAAUCCCUAAAUCAACAGUCACCUUCAACAGACCACCAAAAAAUCGCUGAUCUCCCUCUCUCUCUCACUCACAACCCUUUAUCACCACAACAACCAGCUUCUUCUUCCAUCUCCGACUCUCAGCCCCGACAAACUCAUACCAAAACCAAAAAAAAAAAGAAAAACGGAAAGAAAUCUAGACAAAAAUUUUGGGAGAAAGAGAUUAGGAUUCGUCUUUAGUUUCAUUUGACUUUUCCUUUUAUUCUCUUCUCAAUUCCAGGGAAAGAUACUAAUAAAAAUUUUAAAUUUUUUUGGUUCUCAAUUUUGCUUCAAAAAUCUGAAAAUUCAAAAAAAAAUGGAAAAGAAUUCCGUUUCUUCCUCUGGAUUUUCGUUUGAAAUGGAAGGAAGCUGAGGUGAGUGUUCAAAGCUUUGGAGUUGUCGUUCGUGGUUUAGGAGCGCAGUUUCGGGAGUGAAUCAGUCUCUGUUCUCGCCGGAUUUCGGACUCCGUGUUUGUAGCUAUUUUCUUCAUUCUGCUCAUAUAUUCAAGGGGUUUUAUUCUAACAGAUGCCAUUUUGGAAGAUCAAGAUGAAGUCCUCGAAGAGAUGGUGCUUGAAGAUACUGUCGCCGAGGAUGCACCCCGAGAUUAGAUUAGACUUUUGGCUUUUAUUAUAUAUGUACUUUUUUGCUUCACUGUUUCUGUUUAAGGACCCCUCAUGGGCUUUUGUAAUCAUAUGUAAGGAUCCCUCGUGGGCUUUUGUAAUUACGAUUUAUUAAUACAAGGAUAUUUCUUCGAUUUGUCUCUGA
This is a long non-coding RNA of Nicotiana tabacum (common tobacco), 908 nucleotides long. RefSeq lists it as uncharacterized. The record is from RefSeq and is a predicted model, not a curated record. Lineage: Eukaryota; Viridiplantae; Streptophyta; Magnoliopsida; Solanales; Solanaceae.